ACGAAACAGUGCUUCACCACAUCUGUGGAUUAAGCCACACAGUCAACUCAAUGCCUAAGACUGUUUGCAAGGACUGCUGCGCACGCCGGAUGUAGGCAGGCAAGCUGCAAGCAAUCAGUGAGAUGAUCCAUCAAUCAUCAUCAGACUGCAAGCCGUAUAGCCUCUACACAAAGGACCAGAUGGCUGUGUGACAUGUUUUCAGUUCUGUGCAAGGAACCACCAUCACACCAUGGUAAGUGAUAACUUACUUGUCCUCCAUUUACUAGUGUCACAAUGUAGCCAACGUGCAGCCUAUAUUAUUAUAAGUUAUAGUGAUAUUUUGUAAGCAUUUAUUUACCAAUGAGAAUAGCCUAAUGUUAUCCCUUUGCAUCUCUCCACAGGGAUACACAAAGGCUAGGGUUAAGUGAUGCUUUUGUAUCAAAUGUGUUGGCUAUAUGCAGGUCAUGUGACGCCUCUUCCGAGACACAGGCUCAGUUACUUUGCCAUUAUUAGUUAAAUCACAGUCAGUUUUCAAGGGUCAGCCCAUUACCAUGCAUACACCACUCAUGCAUUUGCUCAUUCCAAUCUAUUAAUGCACUGAACAUUCAUCUCUCACGAUUUCAUAGAGAGCAGGAGGUUGCAUAUCAGGAGCGUGAAGGAGUGAAUCUUGUAUUUACAUGUCACCUGUACUAUAGUAUUAUUUAAUAUAUGCAUAGGAUUAAUAUUCUGCUGAUUUGUCUUCCCAUUACCCCACAAUCCCUCUGUCUUUCUAGGAAGAUGUCAAUGUCAACAGCAGAAGGAAAAUUACUCUGCAGGAUUUUUUAAGACCUGGAAUGUUUGGAUGUGGAAAGUUUUUGAUUAAAUUGCAGAAGAAAUUGACCUGCCAGACUUCUCGGAUGCAGCUGUAGCUAUUCCCACUGUCUCGGGUGAUACAGACUCCCUUGUGAAGUUUGGUCCUGCUAUCCAUUCUAUAGUUCUUGACGAAGAUAUUGUUGUGUGUGAUAUAGCAGAGUUGACAGACACGUUAAUUUUGCUAUUUGGUUUAAUUUAUGCACUUCAUCUCGAUUAUCCAAAGCAAUUGUCCUACACAUUUAAUUUCAUUCAAAAAAUUAUAAUGGGUUUGGAAGACCUGAAGCGGUUACCUCCUAGACUGCUGCUUAGCCUUAAAAAUAAAUUGCUGAUGAUGGAUGAGUAAGCAGUCUGUUCUCCAAAUCUCAUGGUUGGUACUGCCAGCAUGUUAAUACUCAAGCAAGCAAUGGAGCUUUUCGCUUUUAUUUAUGUUGUCCUAUUAUUUUGUUAUUUGAGUAUUAUUACCUUUGUUGAAGUGGUAACAGGUUGUUAUUUCUUUGAUUUUCUGUAUUAACCGCAUUGCUGGGGAUGUUGUUCUGUUAGAAUUCUAUUGGAAUUCUU
This is a long non-coding RNA of Alosa sapidissima (American shad), 1389 nucleotides long. RefSeq lists it as uncharacterized. The transcript is spliced from 4 exons. NCBI's taxonomy places the organism in Eukaryota, Metazoa, Chordata, Actinopteri, Clupeiformes, Clupeidae. The record is from RefSeq and is a predicted model, not a curated record.